Molecule: ribosomal RNA, 494 nt
Filed under: uncultured bacterium
Lineage: Bacteria
Description: partial 16S ribosomal RNA
Rfam family: Bacterial small subunit ribosomal RNA
Source: RNAcentral
GACGAACGCUGGCGGCGUGCUUAACACAUGCAAGUCGAACGGAAAGGCCUGCUUUCCCUUGUGGAUUGCGGGUGCUCGAGUGGCGAACGGGUGAGUAACACGUGAGUGAUCUGCCCCCAACUUGGGUAUAAGCCCGGGAAACUGGGUCUAAUUCCCGAUAGGACUGCAGGGUGGUGCCUGUGGUGGAAAACGAUUUUCUAGUGGUUGGGGAUGAGCUCGCGGCCUAUCAGCUUGUUGGUGGGGUAAUGGCCUACCAAGGCGGCGACGGGUAGCCGGCCUGAGAGGGUGGACGGCCACAUUGGGACUGAGAGACGGCCCAGACUCCUACGGGAGGCAGCAGUGGGGAAUAGUGCACAAUGGGCGGAAGCCUGAUGCAGCGACGCCGCGUGGGGGAUGACGGCCUUCGGGUGGUAAACUCCUUUCGACCGCGAGGAAGCCACCUGGUUGGAAGGGUGGUGACGGUAGUGGUAGAAGAAGCACCGGCUAACUACGUG